This 417-nucleotide ribosomal RNA is filed under the name uncultured bacterium. RNAcentral's name for it is "bacterial SSU rRNA". It matches the Rfam family "Bacterial small subunit ribosomal RNA", at positions 28 to 437 of the family's 1533-position model. The record is from RNAcentral.
GACGAACGCUGGCGGCGUGCUUAACACAUGCAAGUCUUACGAGAAAAGGGUAGCAAUAUCCUGAGUAAAGUGGCGCACGGGUGAGUAACACGUAGGCAAUCUGUCUUUAGGACGGGGACAACCCCGAGAAAUCGGAGCUAAUACCCGAUAAAGCAACUGCACCGCAUGGUGAUGGUUGUUAAAGGCCCGCAAGGGCGCCUAUUGAUGAGCCUGCGUCCCAUUAGGUAGUUGGNGAGGUAACGGCCCACCAAGCCUACGAUGGGUAGCUGGUCUGAGAGGAUGAUCAGCCACACUGGAACUGAGACACGGUCCAGACUCCUACGGGAGGCAGCAGUGAGGAAUAUUGCGCAAUGGCCGAAAGGCUGACGCAGCGACGCCGCGUGAAGGAUGAAAUCCGUUAGGAUGUAAACUUCUUUU